This is a transfer RNA of Lepisosteus oculatus (spotted gar), 73 nucleotides long. It matches the Rfam family "tRNA". Rfam says of the family: Transfer RNA (tRNA) molecules are approximately 80 nucleotides in length. Their secondary structure includes four short double-helical elements and three loops (D, anti-codon, and T loops). The record is from Rfam. NCBI's taxonomy places the organism in Eukaryota, Metazoa, Chordata, Actinopteri, Semionotiformes, Lepisosteidae.
CCCCGACUAGCUUUCUUGGUAGAGCAUGAGACUCAUAAUUUCAGGGUAGUGGGUUUGUGUCCCACAUCAGGCA